Molecule: long non-coding RNA, 1013 nt
Organism: Bacillus rossius redtenbacheri
Lineage: Eukaryota; Metazoa; Arthropoda; Insecta; Phasmatodea; Bacillidae
Exons: 2
Source: RefSeq, a predicted model, not a curated record
GCCGUAUUUUGUAAACAAGAAAGAUGGUGAACUAAAGACCAUCACGUCCAAGGAGCAUAGAAAUAAUAAUGGUUUAGUAGCUUCGCCGCCUGCUGUUUGAACUUUAUUAGUAGUUGACUGUUGAAUUUCGGUUAAAAUAAAGCAUAUUAUUUUUACCUGGAAGUAAAAUGAAACGUUUAGAGGAGACUGUAAAGCGAGGUGAACCUUGAAGUGUAAAUGAUCUCUGCAAUGGCAAGAAUGGCCUCGUGUGCAAGGCCUCUUGUGGGACUCCUUAGAAACACUGCCACGAGACCACAGUACUGUUCCUGCAUCAACUUCAGGAUACUUGCCUCACGCGUGGCAGCUUCCAGUAGAAACUACGAGCACGGCCGUAGCGAGGGAGGGCUGAGCACUCACCCGGUGCGACUCUUCAUGAAAGCGUCGAAGAAGCGGCAAGAGCGCUUCAAACUGAAAGACAACAUACCCGACGGCUAUGAGAUCAUAUACAGAGCACCCUUGGAGAGGUACUUGCAGGUUGGACAGGUUAUUUCAUAUCUCUCUGCAGUGGUGUUGGGUGCCGUUCCUGCUUACAGCAUGUUUGCGUACGGCAGUUUGCUAGAACUCCCUCUCUACAUCAUAAAAACAGAAGAAAUCAAUUUCAUCCAGUUGGCCGUCAUGUUUGGGUUUUUUGUCGGAGUUAAUUCAAUGUUUCAGAGGGUCGUGGUUUCGUAUCCAUUUAGGAUAUACAAGAAAAAUGAAGCCUACAUAAUGGUCAAAAGUAGUUGGUUUCCUUUUCAAGCCAGACAGGUAACAUUUUCCAAAGGUGACUUCAAAACGGGUGGCUCACAGUUGUUUAGCAUUUUGUGGAAUGACGCUGUUUUUCUAUGUUCUGGCAAAACCGUGAUUGUUUUGCUGGAACACUUCAGAACACCUCAAGAAUUCCAAGAUAUGUUCGACUAAGUCUGAAUAGGAACUUACGCUUUAGAAGUAAAUUUUAACGUAGGAUGGCAAUAAAUUGUUUUCUUUAUAAAAUA